RNAcentral lists this ribosomal RNA (497 nucleotides) under uncultured bacterium. RNAcentral describes it as "partial 16S ribosomal RNA". It matches the Rfam family "Bacterial small subunit ribosomal RNA", at positions 28 to 507 of the family's 1533-position model. The record is from RNAcentral.
GACGAACGCUGGCGGCGUGCCUAAUACAUGCCAGUUGAGCGCUGAAGGUUGGUACUUGUACCAACUGGAUGAGCAGCGAACGGGUGAGUAACGCGUGGGGAAUCUGCCUUUGAGCGGGGGACAACAUUUGGAAACGAAUGCUAAUACCGCAUAAAAACUUUAAACACAAGUUUUAAGUUUGAAAGAUGCAAUUGCAUCACUCAAAGAUGAUCCCGCGUUGUAUUAGCUAGUUGGUGAGGUAAAGGCUCACCAAGGCGAUGAUACAUAGCCGACCUGAGAGGGUGAUCGGCCACAUUGGUACUGAGACACGGCCCAAACUCCUUCGGGAGGCAGCAGGAGGGAAUCUUCGGCAAUGGACGGAAGUCUGACCGAGCAACGCCGCGGGAGGGAAGAAGGGUUUCGGAUCGUAAAACUCUGUUGGUAGAGAAGAAAGUUGGUGAGAGUGGAAAGCUCAUCAAGUGACGGUAACUACCCAGAAAGGGACGGCUAACUACGUG